UACAAGUCCCCUGGUGAGAACUGGGCAAAGGUAUCCUUUGCUCCCAGCAACAGCCCUUCUCUGCGUAGAGUCAAGAGUGACCUUGCCUGGGCACCCUUGGGGGUCCUUGGUCUUUCAAGUGUUUUCAAGCUACAAUGAAAAGCUUAUGUUCCUUUAAAGAAUGCAACUUUUUUUUUCCCACCUGUCUACUGUAAUUGUACUUCGGCUCUUCUACCCUCAAGCUUCAAAAAAAAUUCAGUACCCUUUAUGGAAGAAGAGGAAGAAGAAGAAAAAAUGAUGCCCUUUCUAUCCUCUCAACAAACAUACUUGUGUUUGCUCUCCCGGAUAACAUCUCGUGGAAGAUAGUUAAGGAGCUUCCAUAUGUCAAGGCAUCCAGAAGUGAACCAGGAGCGAGGGCCUCCUUGGGGGAUGUUGCAAUCUAUAGGAAUAAAACGUUAUGAAAGAAAUCUCAGCCUGUUUGUGAUGAGUGUUUGAUACUUUUUUUUUCUCUGUGCUAGAAUUUAAGUUCCACAAGAGCAGGGGAGUUUUUUCUGCUUUGUUCAUUUCUG
Molecule: long non-coding RNA, 548 nt
Filed under: Homo sapiens (human)
Lineage: Eukaryota; Metazoa; Chordata; Mammalia; Primates; Hominidae
Description: HSALNT0366806
Source: RNAcentral